Molecule: ribosomal RNA, 493 nt
Filed under: uncultured bacterium
Lineage: Bacteria
Description: partial 16S ribosomal RNA
Rfam family: Bacterial small subunit ribosomal RNA
Source: RNAcentral
AUUGAACGCUGGCGGCAUGCUUUACACAUGCAAGUCGAACGGUAACAGGUUAAGCUGACGAGUGGCGAACGGGUGAGUAAUGCAUCGGAACGUGCCCGGUCGUGGGGGAUAACGCAGCGAAAGCUGCGCUAAUACCGCAUACGAUCUAAGGAUGAAAGCGGGGGACCGCAAGACCUCGCGCGAUUGGAGUGGCCGAUGUCAGAUUAGCUAGUUGGUGGGGUAAAGGCCUACCAAGGCAACGAUCUGUAGCUGGUCUGAGAGGAUGAUCAGCCACACUGGGACUGAGACACGGCCCAGACUCCUACGGGAGGCAGCAGUGGGGAAUUUUGGACAAUGGGGGCAACCCUGAUCCAGCCAUUCCGCGUGAGUGAAGAAGGCCUUCGGGUUGUAAAGCUCUUUCGGCAGGAACGAAACGGCGAGCUCUAACAUAGCUCGCUAAUGACGGUACCUGAAGAAGAAGCACCGGCUAACUACGUGCCAGCAGCCGCAGUAA